Molecule: non-coding RNA, 78 nt
Organism: Saprolegnia parasitica CBS 223.65
Lineage: Eukaryota; Oomycota; Saprolegniomycetes; Saprolegniales; Saprolegniaceae
Source: the annotation of a RefSeq genome assembly
AGUAGUGUCGUCUCGUGGUUAUAAUAGGACGCAAGCUUCACACGUUGGAGAUCGAGGGCUCGAUCCCCUCUACUGGUA